Molecule: ribosomal RNA, 332 nt
Filed under: uncultured Anaerolineaceae bacterium
Lineage: Bacteria; Bacillati; Chloroflexota; Anaerolineae; Anaerolineales; Anaerolineaceae
Description: bacterial SSU rRNA
Rfam family: Bacterial small subunit ribosomal RNA
Source: RNAcentral
GGCUGCAUGGCUGUCGUCAGCUCGUGUCGUGAGAUGUUCGGUUAAGUCCGCUAACGAGCGCAACCCUCCGCUGUGUGUUACAAGUGUCACACGGAACUGCCGGUCAUAAACCGGAGGAAGGUGGGGAUGACGUCAAGUCAGCAUGGCCUUUAUAUCCUGGGCUACACACACGCUACAAUGGGAAGGGACAAUAGGUUGCGAAGCCGCGAGGCGGAGCCAAUCCAGCAAAACUUCCCUCAGUUCAGAUUGCAGGCUGCAACUCGCCUGCAUGAAGUUGGAGUUGCUAGUAAACGCAGGUCAGCCAUACUGCGUUGAAUACGUUCCCGGGGCUU